AAAAUUUUAAGUUAAAAAAACUAUUAAUCUUCAAAAUUAAAAAUAAAUAAUUAAUUUAAAUUUUA
RNAcentral lists this transfer RNA (65 nucleotides) under Enicospilus sp. MD-2008. RNAcentral's name for it is "tRNA-Trp". Lineage: Eukaryota; Metazoa; Arthropoda; Insecta; Hymenoptera; Ichneumonidae. The record is from RNAcentral.